CCUACGGGGGACAGCAGUAGGGGAUAUUGCUCAAUGGGGGAAACCCUGAAGCAGCAACGCCGCGUGGAGGAUGAAGGUUUUCGGUUUGUAAACUUCUUUUGUUAGAGAAGAUAAUGACGGUAUUUAACGAAUAAGCACCGGCUAACUCCGUGCCAGCAGCCGCGGUAAUACGGAGGGUGCAAGCGUUACUCGGAAUCACUGGGCGUAAAGAGCGCGUAGACGGGAUAGCAAGUCAGAUGUGAAAGCCUAUGGCUUAACCAUAGCACUGCUUUUGAAACUGUUAUUCUAGAGUAUGGGAGAGGUAGGUGGAAUUCUUGGUGUAGGGGUAAAAUCCGUAGAGAUCAAGAGGAAUACUCAUUGCGAAGGCGACCUGCUAGAACAUAACUGACGCUGAUGCGCGAAAGCGUGGGGAGCAAACAGGAUUAGAUACCCCAGUAGUC
Molecule: ribosomal RNA, 440 nt
Filed under: uncultured bacterium
Lineage: Bacteria
Description: partial 16S ribosomal RNA
Rfam family: Bacterial small subunit ribosomal RNA
Source: RNAcentral